UGCCGCCGCCGCGGUAACACGUAGGGGGCAAGCGUUGUCCGGAUUUAUUGGGCGUAAAGAGCUCGUAGGCUGUUCAGUAAGUCGGGUGUGAAAACUCAGGGCUCAACCCUGAGACGCCACCCGAUACUGCUGUGACUAGAGUCCGGUAGAGGAGUGCGGAAUUCCUGGUGUAGCGGUGAAAUGCGCAGAUAUCAGGAGGAACACCAACGGCGAAGGCAGCACUCUGGGCCGGUACUGACGCUCAGGAGCGAAAGCAUGGGGAGCGAACAGGAUUAGAUA
Molecule: ribosomal RNA, 279 nt
Filed under: uncultured bacterium
Lineage: Bacteria
Description: partial 16S ribosomal RNA
Rfam family: Bacterial small subunit ribosomal RNA
Source: RNAcentral